Molecule: ribosomal RNA, 478 nt
Filed under: uncultured bacterium
Lineage: Bacteria
Description: partial 16S ribosomal RNA
Rfam family: Bacterial small subunit ribosomal RNA
Source: RNAcentral
GAUGAACGCUGGCGGCGUGCUUAACACAUGCAAGUCGAACGAGAAACCUUUUAAUGAAGCUUCGGCAGAUUUAGCUGGUUUCUAGUGGCGGACGGGUGAGUAACGCGUGGGUAACCUGCCUUAUACAGGGGGAUAACAGUCAGAAAUGACUGCUAAUACCGCAUAAGCGCACAGGACCGCAUGGUCCGGUGUGAAAAACUCCGGUGGUAUAAGAUGGACCCGCGUUGGAUUAGCUUGUUGGUGGGGUAACGGCUCACCAAGGCGACGAUCCAUAGCCGGCCUGAGAGGGUGAACGGCCACAUUGGGACUGAGACACGGCCCAGACUCCUACGGGAGGCAGCAGUGGGGAAUAUUGCACAAUGGGGGAAACCCUGAUGCAGCGACGCCGCGUGAAGGAAGAAGUAUCUCGGUAUGUAAACUUCUAUCAGCAGGGAAGAUAGUGACGGUACCUGACUAAGAAGCCCCGGCUAACUACGUG